GACGAACGUUGGCGGCGUGCUUAAUACAUGCAAGUCAACUGAAGCACCGGUAGUAAUACUGGUGUGGAGGUGGCGCACGGGUGAGUAACACGUAGGUAAUCUGCCUUCAGGUCUGACAUAACCCCGAGAAAUCGGGGCUAAUAGCAGAUGAUGCAGCGGCUUGACAUCAAAGACAGUUGUUAAAGCUUCGGCGCCUGAAGAUGAGCCUGCGUCUGAUUAGCUAGUUGGCGGAGUAAUAGCCCACCAAGGCGACGAUCAGUAGCUGGUCUGAGAGGAUGAUCAGCCACACUGGAACUGAGACACGGUCCAGACUCCUACGGGAGGCAGCAGUAAGGAAUAUUGCUCAAUGGGAGAAAUCCUGAAGCAGCAACGCCGACGUGAGGGAUGAAGGGCGUUUGCUCGUAACCUCUGUAGUGA
Molecule: ribosomal RNA, 417 nt
Filed under: uncultured bacterium
Lineage: Bacteria
Description: bacterial SSU rRNA
Rfam family: Bacterial small subunit ribosomal RNA
Source: RNAcentral